This 257-nucleotide ribosomal RNA is filed under the name uncultured bacterium. RNAcentral's name for it is "partial 16S ribosomal RNA". It matches the Rfam family "Bacterial small subunit ribosomal RNA", at positions 613 to 868 of the family's 1533-position model. The record is from RNAcentral.
CCGGUGGCGUGCCUCAGAAACCGGAUGACUUGAGGGCAGGAGAGGGGAGUGGAAUUCCCAGUGUAGCGGUGAAAUGCGUAGAUAUUGGGAGGAACACCAGUGGCGAAGGCGGCUCUCUGGCCUGUUUCUGACGCUGAGGCGCGAAAGCGUGGGGAGCGAACGGGAUUAGAUACCCCGGUAGUCCACGCCGUAAACGAUGGGUGCUAGGUGUAGGAGGUAUCGACCCCUUCUGUGCCGUAGUUAACGCAAUAAGCACC